This 89-nucleotide ribosomal RNA is filed under the name Beta vulgaris subsp. maritima. The record is from RNAcentral. Lineage: Eukaryota; Viridiplantae; Streptophyta; Magnoliopsida; Caryophyllales; Amaranthaceae.
GGAUCCCAUCAGAACUCCGCAAUUAAGCGUGCUUGGGCGAGAGUAUUACUAGGAUGGGUGACCUCCUGGGAAGUCCUCGUGUUGCACCC